This 71-nucleotide transfer RNA is filed under the name bacterium. Its description in RNAcentral is "tRNA-Gly". It matches the Rfam family "tRNA". Rfam says of the family: Transfer RNA (tRNA) molecules are approximately 80 nucleotides in length. The record is from RNAcentral.
GCGGGUAUAAUAUAACGGUAUUACGUCACUCUUCCAAGGUGAACACGCGGGUCCGACUCCCGCUACCCGCU